AGUGAACGCUGGCGGUAGGCCUAACACAUGCAAGUCGAACGGCAGCACAGUAAGAGCUUGCUCUUACGGGUGGCGAGUGGCGGACGGGUGAGGAAUACAUCGGAAUCUACUUUUUCGUGGGGGAUAACGUAGGGAAACUUACGCUAAUACCGCAUACGACCUACGGUUGAAAGCAGGGGAUCUUCGGACCUUGCGCGAUUGAAUGAGCCGCUGUCGGAUUAGCUAGUUGGCGGGGUAAAGGCCCACCAAGGCGACGAUCCGUAGCUGGUCUGAGAGGAUGAUCAGCCACACUGGAACUGAGACACGGUCCAGACGCCUAAGGGAGGCAGCAGUGGGGAAUAUUGGACAAUGGGCGCAAGCCUGAUCCAGCCAUACCGCGUGGGUGAAGAAGGCCUUCGGGUUGUAAAGCCCUUUUGUUGGGAAAGAAAAGCAGCAGGUUAAUACCCCGCUGUUCUGACGGUACCCAAAGAAUAAGCACCGGCUAACUUCGUG
RNAcentral lists this ribosomal RNA (492 nucleotides) under uncultured bacterium. Its description in RNAcentral is "partial 16S ribosomal RNA". It matches the Rfam family "Bacterial small subunit ribosomal RNA", at positions 29 to 507 of the family's 1533-position model. The record is from RNAcentral.